GACGAACGCUGGCGGCGUGCUUAACACAUGCAAGUCGAACGGAAAGGCCCUGCUUUUGUGGGGUGCUCGAGUGGCGAACGGGUGAGUAACACGCGAGUAACCUGCCCUUGACUUUGGGAUAACUCCAGGAAACUGGGGCGAAUAUCGGACAGGAGCUCCUGCUGCAUGGUGGGGGUUGGAAAGUUUCGGCGUUUUGGGAUGGACGCGCGGCUCAUCAGCUUGUUGGUGGGGUAGUGGCUUACCAAGGCACUGAGGGGUAGCCGGCCUGGGAGGGUGACCGGCCACAAUGGGAUUAGGAUACCACCCAGACUCCUACGGGAGCCAGCGGUGGAAGUUAUUCCGCGAUAGGCGGAAGCAGGGUGCAGCGACUCCGCGUGCGGGAUGACGGCCUUCGGGUAAUAACCCGCUUUCGCCUGUAACGAAGCGUAAGUGACGGUAAUGGGUAAAAAAGCACCGGCUAACUACGUG
Molecule: ribosomal RNA, 468 nt
Filed under: uncultured bacterium
Lineage: Bacteria
Description: partial 16S ribosomal RNA
Rfam family: Bacterial small subunit ribosomal RNA
Source: RNAcentral